Long non-coding RNA from Rana temporaria (common frog), 2520 nucleotides. RefSeq lists it as uncharacterized. The transcript has 2 exons. NCBI's taxonomy places the organism in Eukaryota, Metazoa, Chordata, Amphibia, Anura, Ranidae. The record is from RefSeq and is a predicted model, not a curated record.
ACACGUUUUUUUAUUCACGAAUCUGUCUCAUGAUCGAUUUAAUAGCAGUAAGUGUGCUAUUUAAAUAUAAGUCAAGUUAUCAACUUUAUUUCAUUGGCUAAGCCAGCCAGGCUUUGAACGAUUUUCAAAUUUUAUACCACUUUCUCAAAGUGCUAUCGGAGAGAAGUAGAGUAUUGAGUAAUUUUUGAAACGUUUGACGAGAACCUAGAAGUCAACAAUCAGCCAGUCGCUCAUUUUGUCGCAGUUUUUUUACAACUGUCCCUUAUAUCGAAAGGGGGACAUGUUAGUACUGAGAGAAACUACGGAAAGAGUUUGACGAGAGCCUAGAAGUAUCGAUUUAUCGUGAAUGACCUGGAGAUUCGUAGAACACGGAAGACUUCUUAUUCGGAAUGAUUUUUACAAAAAUUGAUCAAAGAAGGAAAGAUGACUACAAAAGAGAUGAAAAAUCUUAAAGAAAGAAAGUUGAUCAUCAUCGUCAUCGUCACAGGAUUCAUUUUUUUCUCUAUUGACAUUUUUAUCAGUGGUAAAAUAUAUCACAAACUGUUCCAGCCAUGCAGAGGUUAACAUGAUUGACAAUUUUCUCAAAGACAUUACAGUAUUAAGAAGCAAAAGAAACAUGGACAAUGAUAUUAAUGUAGAUAACAAAUUGGAUAGGUUUAGAUAUACCAAUGUCAAUACAGCUGAUGAUUUGAUUGGGUAUAUAGCUGUGGGACAGGGGUAUGAGCAUUGUAUGGAAUUAUAUUUCAUUCAUAGUAAUGAGGUGGAAAUAGAAGUUAAAAUAGAGUCGAAAACAAGUUUUGUUAAAAUGCAAGGAUUUUAUAGGUUUAAUAAUAUAACCAAGACUUUUGAAUGUAAUAUACUGAAAAGAGCUUUUUGGACAUUAUUUGUAAAAGGUAAUGAUUCAACAAUUUGGUCUGGAGAUGUCAAUAAUGAUAUGUCAAGGUCUGGAAAAAUAUUUUAUCCAGUAGACCAGUAUUAUUACCUUUUUCAAAGUUUUGUACAAAUAUUAAAUCCAAAACAUUUAAAAAUAAUUGGAGAUAAAAAGGGAGACAUUGUAAGAAAAUGGGAUUUUAGAGUGAUAAGGAAGUUUGCUCAAUUACGAGUCAAAAUUAGCAUUACUGUGGUAGAUAUUAUUGUUCCAGAGAUAAAAGUGUCACCACAGUCUUUAAAAGUCAUUGAAGAUGAAGAUGGAUUGAAUUUGAUGUGUAGUACUCAAAUUUAUUUACCUCAAAGUUCAUUGUUAACUUGGAAAAGGAAUGGUGAUUUUUUGGGUAGUUUUUUCCACAGUACAACUAAUAUAAUUCACAAAGGAAUUUUUGGUAAUGUGAAUUGGAUCAAUGAUAAAUUUAUUUAUCAUCAAUCAGGUGUAUCUUUAAAUGAUACUGGUAUAUAUGAGUGCUGCAUAUUAAUAGAAGGCUAUCCCUUGAAAUGUGCUAAUGCAAGUAUAAUUGUCAUGUCCCCAGGGAAAACUCCAUGUGUUGGUAAAAACAGUGUUUUUGCUAAUCCCUUCCAGAUUAACCAUUUACAAUCCAGAGCUCUAUUGAGAGAAGGAACAUUCGUCAUUAUAUUAUGGAACUUUAAUAUUUCAGAAUGGAAAAUUUCUACAAGGUUUCCACAAUGUCAAAGACAUUUGGUUAAUAUGGAAUUGGGUAUUGAAAGAUGGUUUGGAAUCAAUAGUCAUAACAGAAAUAGACGUGGUAUUGUCGAAGGAGCCCUAGGGGGCAUAGGUGUAAUUGGCAGCAUUGCAAAUAGUAUGGAUAUUAACACGUUAAAAUCUGAUCUUGAGUCAGCAGGUUUAGUGGGAAGUAAAGGUUUUAAGAUCCAAAGAAACUUAAAUCAGAUAUUAGAAGAUAUGGUUAUUAAAACAGCCAAUGUAAUGGGUCCAUCCAUACUACAUCUUCAGAAUAUUACUCUCAAUUUAAUGACUAGUGAAGAACAUUCACAUAUUGCCAGAUUAUGUUUAGAAAUUCAAACAGAAUAUUCCACUAAUUUUAAAAUAAUUGCACAAGCUUUUCAGAGUGGAGUUACCCCUCUUGGUAUAUUGCAGAAUUUACCCAGAGAAUAUGCAUAUGCAAGAAAUCAUACUGAUUUAUGGGUAAAUAAAUGGUUAGGAUGUAGUCAGGAUGUAUGUUACAGUUCUUCUAUGAUUCCUAUAGCAGGGAGAGAACAAAUUUUGGUUCCAAUUACUGUUUUGGGAUUACCAAUUAGUGAUACUCAAUUAUUAUUUUAUAAAUUGCAGUAUACAGAUUUUGCGCUUAACAAGGAUAAUUUGGAAUUAGAACAAUUAGAUUUGUCAUCAUGUUUACAAUUUCAGUCUAAAGUUCUUUGUUUACCUAAUCAAGAUAAAAGUAUAUUUCAUUCUUGUUAUCAUAAUCAUACAUUAUGUUCUGCAAGAAUAGAAACAUUUGAAGCUUCUUCUGAAUUAACUACUCUUGUAGAUAAAAGGAAAGUUUGUUUUCAGAUCAUGAAAGAUACAGAAAGGGUUCAGACUUUCUUUUCCUCUUGCACAAACACAGAAAA